CCAGGUAGAUGUGAAGCUUGGCAGUGCUUGGACACAUACUCAACCAUACGGAGAAUAUCAGCCUGUAGCAGGUAAACAAGAGCCCAGCACAGAAGAAAAGGCAGAGCUACAAGACGACAGUGCCACAUUAUUUUCAUUGGAAUCUAUGUACCCAUCUAUGCCUGAGUUUAAAGAUGCUCAAUGACUGUAGGAAGAAGAUACUGGAUUUUCAAAAUAACAUUUGAUGAAAGCAAUUGCCAUGCAGUGAUGAGAACAGGUUUGGGAGGCUCAAGACUUGGUGUGACAUCCUGACUCCAAUUGGUUCAUAUGAGGAGACAAGGAGAAGAUGUCCAUCUGGAAACCUUCAGGAAGUGGAUCUUCACCAGACACCAGAUCUGCUGGUACUUUGCUCUGGACUUCUCAGUCUCCAGAACUGUGAGAAAUAAGUGUCUGUUGUUUAAGCCACUCAAUCAAUAGCAUUUUGUCAUAGCAUACUAAACUGUCUAGUGGAGUUUGUAUUGUUUCAACCUAAAGCCCUGAAUGAUGAGAAUGGUUAACCAUUUAUAAACCACUGAAGGUGACUCAGCACAUUAUCUUGUACAUGGUGGACC
This 590-nucleotide long non-coding RNA is filed under the name Pongo abelii (Sumatran orangutan). RNAcentral describes it as "lincRNA". The record is from RNAcentral. Lineage: Eukaryota; Metazoa; Chordata; Mammalia; Primates; Hominidae.